Molecule: ribosomal RNA, 478 nt
Filed under: uncultured bacterium
Lineage: Bacteria
Description: partial 16S ribosomal RNA
Rfam family: Bacterial small subunit ribosomal RNA
Source: RNAcentral
GACGAACGCUGGCGGCGUGCUUAACACAUGCAAGUCGAACGGUAAGGCCCUUCGGGGUACACGAGUGGCGAACGGGUGAGUAACACGUGGGUGAUCUGCCCUGCACUUCGGGAUAAGCCUGGGCAACUGGGUCUAAUACCGGAUAGGACCCUGGGAUGCAUGUCCUGGGGUGGAAAGCUGUUGCGGUGUGGGAUGGGCCCGCGGCCUAUCAGGUUGUUGGUGGGGUGAUGGCCUACCAAGGCGACGACGGGUAGCCGGCCUGGGAGGGUGACCGGACACACGCGGACUGAGCGACGGCCAAGACUCCUACGGGAGGCAGCAGUGGGGAAUAGUGCACAAGGGGAGCAAGCCGGAUGCAGCGACGCCGCGUGAGGGAUGACGGCCUUCGGGUUGUACACCUCUUUCAGCACAGACGAGGCGAAAGUGACGGUAUGUGCAGAAGAAGGACAGGCCAACUACGUGCCAGCAGCCGCCGUAA